UACGUAGGGUGCGAGCGUUGUCCGGAAUUACUGGGCGUAAAGAGCUCGUAGGUGGUUUGUCGCGUUGUUCGUGAAAUCUCACGGCUUAACUGUGAGCGUGCGGGCGAUACGGGCAGACUGGAGUACUGCAGGGGAGACUGGAAUUCCUGGUGUAGCGGUGGAAUGCGCAGAUAUCAGGAGGAACACCGGUGGCGAAGGCGGGUCUCUGGGCAGUAACUGACACUGAGGAGCGAAAGCGUGGGGAGCGAACAGG
Molecule: ribosomal RNA, 253 nt
Filed under: uncultured bacterium
Lineage: Bacteria
Description: partial 16S ribosomal RNA
Rfam family: Bacterial small subunit ribosomal RNA
Source: RNAcentral